AACCAAGUCGAGUAGCAAAGUUGUCGCUCCAAAUCGAACUUGCUGCUGCACCAUCUUCACCAAGUCGAACUUGCAGCAGCCAGGUACCAUAGUCGCUCAACUUGAUCUCUCUGGUAGCUCAUCCGGCAAGACUGCUCAAUGUGUUUGUUGGUUUCUCUUUCAUUUACGGACAUCUUGGGCUUGCUGGGUGCAGAAUUAAGAAGCCCAAUCAUCAUCAGGGAUGAAAAAAGGAGAGAAGCACGGGAAGAGGUACUAGUAGAAGAGGAAGAAAUAAUGUGAAAAAUGAGAUAAAUGUGAGAAUAGCAAGUAGUAAAGCAUGAGAGGGAUUCAGAUUUUGUUUUCACAUUCUUGCUGUACACGUACCUUUGGUCUGUAGAUGCACCGUAAUGAAUCUAGGAAGUAUGAAUGGUUCAUACCUCAAUGGUGCACUAUGCAUCUUUGGCAGGUUUUUAUGCAUUUUUAAAUGGUUGUGGAGCAAUUUAAUGGUGGGCUAUGUACUGAAGUA
This is a non-coding RNA of Aegilops tauschii subsp. strangulata, 505 nucleotides long. NCBI's taxonomy places the organism in Eukaryota, Viridiplantae, Streptophyta, Magnoliopsida, Poales, Poaceae. The record is from RefSeq and is a predicted model, not a curated record.